Molecule: non-coding RNA, 93 nt
Filed under: Caenorhabditis japonica
Lineage: Eukaryota; Metazoa; Nematoda; Chromadorea; Rhabditida; Rhabditidae
Description: Eukaryotic large subunit ribosomal RNA
Rfam family: Eukaryotic large subunit ribosomal RNA
Source: Rfam by way of RNAcentral
CAACCUGAACUCAGUCGUGAUUACCCGCUGAACUUAAGCAUAUCAUUUAGCGGGAGGAAAAGAAAACUAAAAAAGGAUUUCCCCUAGUAACGG